UAUAAAGCCAUGUCACAAGCGUA
This 23-nucleotide non-coding RNA is filed under the name Arabidopsis thaliana (thale cress). Lineage: Eukaryota; Viridiplantae; Streptophyta; Magnoliopsida; Brassicales; Brassicaceae. The record is from RNAcentral.